This 270-nucleotide ribosomal RNA is filed under the name uncultured archaeon. Its description in RNAcentral is "partial 16S ribosomal RNA". It matches the Rfam family "Archaeal small subunit ribosomal RNA", at positions 477 to 747 of the family's 1478-position model. The record is from RNAcentral.
CAUCACCUCAAGUGGUCAGGAUGAUUAUUGGGCCUAAAGCAUCCGUAGCCGGCGCUGUAAGUUUUCGGUUAAAUCUGUACGCUCAACGUACAGGCUGCCGGGAAUACUGCAGCGCUAGGGAGUGGGAGAGGUAGACGGUACUCGGUAGGAAGGGGUAAAAUCCUUUGAUCUAUUGAUGACCACCUGUGGCGAAGGCGGUCUACCAGAACACGUCCGACGGUGAGGGAUGAAAGCUGGGGGAGCAAACCGGAUUAGAUACCCGAGUAGUCC